This 385-nucleotide ribosomal RNA is filed under the name uncultured bacterium. RNAcentral describes it as "bacterial SSU rRNA". It matches the Rfam family "Bacterial small subunit ribosomal RNA", at positions 29 to 417 of the family's 1533-position model. The record is from RNAcentral.
AUUGAACGCUGGCGGCAUGCUUUACACAUGCAAGUCGAACGGCAGCACGGGGCAACCUGGUGGCGAGUGGCGAACGGGUGAGUAAUGCAUCGGAACGUACCCAGUCGUGGGGGAUAACGUAGCGAAAGUUACGCUAAUACCGCAUACGUCCUGAGGGAGAAAGCGGGGGACCGAAAGGCCUCGCGCGAUUGGAGCGGCCGAUGUCGGAUUAGCUUGUUGGUGGGGUAAAGGCCUACCAAGGCGACGAUCCGUAGCGGGUCUGAGAGGAUGAUCCGCCACACUGGGACUGAGACACGGCCCAGACUCCUACGGGAGGCAGCAGUGGGGAAUUUUGGACAAUGGGCGAAAGCCUGAUCCAGCCAUGCCGCGUGAGUGAAGAAGGCCU